RNAcentral lists this transfer RNA (64 nucleotides) under Coraebus cavifrons. RNAcentral's name for it is "tRNA-Tyr". Lineage: Eukaryota; Metazoa; Arthropoda; Insecta; Coleoptera; Buprestidae. The record is from RNAcentral.
GUCGUAAUGGCUGAGCCAAAGCGGUAAACUGUAAAUUUACUUACGAGAACAUUCUCUUUCGACA